This 330-nucleotide ribosomal RNA is filed under the name Triticum aestivum (bread wheat). RNAcentral describes it as "partial small subunit ribosomal RNA". Lineage: Eukaryota; Viridiplantae; Streptophyta; Magnoliopsida; Poales; Poaceae. The record is from RNAcentral.
AUGCGGGGCAGCGCCCUCCGGCGCAGCGCCGGUGAUGCUCCUCGGCCCUCCAACGCGAGGCUGGUGGCGCUCCUUCCAUGUAAGCGAAGACGGUGUCCUCGGCAAGAUCUCGGCGGUUGCCAGCGUGGCUCUCAGCCCCGGCGGACAGGGGUGGCCAACAACUGGCGAGCCGCAAAGUCUUCCGGUGUGGCAGCACCAAAGACGACGGCUCUCGGCCGUUCAUCAGCGGCGACGCUCUCCAGCGCGCGUGGGGCGCGCUUCUCUCCGCCCGACCUUCGCGUGGUGGCAGCCGUCGGAGACGGCAAGCAGAGCCCGCAGCCACGGUCCUAA